AUCGUAUUCUGCCCUACCGAGUUCAGCGCCAGAUACCUCUGAGCCAACUAACAGCGGGUAAGUUUUUCUUUUUCUUUUUCUUUUUCUUUUUCUUUUUGGAGCAAAUUUUUACAAUUCUUUGGUUUAAAUGACUUUGUGAGGGUCACCUAUACUGGAGUUGUCUUUUUUUUGCUUUUUUUUUGUUUUACUGGAUCAUUCACUUAUUUGCAUCGGUCCCCUACGUAUAGGAUACGUAGGCCGGAGCUGACUGCUGAGAUAAACUACUGAGGACUUAUACGGAAAUGAUGAUUAAGGCCAUGGUAUAUGGG
RNAcentral lists this long non-coding RNA (308 nucleotides) under Lathyrus oleraceus (garden pea). Its description in RNAcentral is "Pisum sativum (pea) long non-coding RNA (PSAT_LNC008310)". Lineage: Eukaryota; Viridiplantae; Streptophyta; Magnoliopsida; Fabales; Fabaceae. The record is from RNAcentral.